RNAcentral lists this ribosomal RNA (253 nucleotides) under uncultured bacterium. RNAcentral's name for it is "partial 16S ribosomal RNA". It matches the Rfam family "Bacterial small subunit ribosomal RNA", at positions 524 to 776 of the family's 1533-position model. The record is from RNAcentral.
UACGGAGGAUCCGAGCGUUAUCCGGAUUUAUUGGGCUUAAAGGGAGCGUAGGCGGGUUGUUAAGUCAGUUGUGAAAGUUUGCGGCUCAACCGUAAAAUUGCAGUUGAUACUGGCAUCCUUGAGUACAGUAGAGGUGGGCGGAAUUCGUGGUGUAGCGGUGAAAUGCUUAGAUAUCACGAAGAACUCCGAUUGCGAAGGCAGCCUGCUGGACUGUAACUGACGCUGAUGCUCGAAAGUGUGGGUAUCAAACAGG